UACGUAGGGUGCAAGCGUUGUCCGGAAUUAUUGGGCGUAAAGAGCUCGUAGGCGGUCUGUCGCGUCGGCUGUGAAAACCCGGAGCUCAACUCCGGGCCUGCAGUCGAUACGGGCAGACUGGAGUUCGGCAGGGGAGACUGGAAUUCCUGGUGUAGCGGUGAAAUGCGCAGAUAUCAGGAAGAACACCAACGGCGAAGGCAGCUCGCUGGGACGGUACUGACGCUGGAGACGCGAAAGCGUGGGGAGCGAACAGG
This 254-nucleotide ribosomal RNA is filed under the name uncultured bacterium. RNAcentral's name for it is "partial 16S ribosomal RNA". It matches the Rfam family "Bacterial small subunit ribosomal RNA", at positions 524 to 776 of the family's 1533-position model. The record is from RNAcentral.